This 97-nucleotide non-coding RNA is filed under the name Palpitomonas bilix. The record is from RNAcentral.
GAAAGCAAAAGGCAAACAAGCAUUUGUAUUAAUACGGUUAUCAGCCUCUCUUUUUUGUUUUUGUUUGUUUUGUUUUCCCCCCCUCUUUUCAUAAUGG